This 403-nucleotide ribosomal RNA is filed under the name Verrucomicrobiota bacterium. RNAcentral describes it as "Verrucomicrobia bacterium partial 16S ribosomal RNA". It matches the Rfam family "Bacterial small subunit ribosomal RNA", at positions 355 to 776 of the family's 1533-position model. The record is from RNAcentral. Lineage: Bacteria; Pseudomonadati; Verrucomicrobiota.
UGGGGAAUAUUGCACAAUGGAGGGAACUCUGAUGCAGCGACGCCGCGUGAACGAAGAAGGCUUUCGAGUCGUAAAGUUCUUUUAUAUGGGAAGAUAAUGACGGUACCAUAAGAAAAAGCCCCGGCUAACUACGUGCCAGCAGCCGCGGUAAUACGUAGGGGGCUAGCGUUGUCCGGAAUCACUGGGCGUAAAGGGUUCGCAGGCGGAAAUGCAAGUCAGGUGUAAAAGGCAGUAGCUUAACUACUGUAAGCAUUUGAAACUGCAUAUCUUGAGAAGAGUAGAGGUAAGUUGAAUUUUUAGUGUAGCGUUGAAAUUCGUAGAUAUUAAAAAGAAUACCGGUGGCGAAGGCGACUUACUGGGCUCAUUCUGACGCUGAGGAACGAAAGCGUAGGUAGCAAACAGG